UACGGAGGGUGCGAGCGUUGUCCGGAUUUAUUGGGUUUAAAGGGUGCGUAGGCGGCCCCUUAAGUCAGCGGUGAAAGCCCGGGGCUCAACCCCGGAACCGCCGUUGAUACUGGGGGGCUUGAGUAUGGACGAGGUUGGCGGAAUUGAGGGUGUAGCGGUGAAAUGCAUAGAUACCACCAAGAACCCCGAUUGCGUAGGCAGCUCGCUAGGCCGAAACUGACGCUGAGGCACGAAAGCGUGGGGAGCGAACAGG
Molecule: ribosomal RNA, 253 nt
Filed under: uncultured bacterium
Lineage: Bacteria
Description: partial 16S ribosomal RNA
Rfam family: Bacterial small subunit ribosomal RNA
Source: RNAcentral